UACGUAGGGGGCGAGCGUUGUCCGGAAUUAUUGGGCGUAAAGAGCUCGUAGGCGGUGUGUCACGUCGGCCGUGAAAACCUGCAGCUUAACUGUGGGCGUGCGGUCGAUACGGGCAUCACUGGAGUUCGGCAGGGGAGACUGGAAUUCCUGGUGUAGCGGUGAAAUGCGCAGAUAUCAGGAGGAACACCGGUGGCGAAGGCGGGAUCCUGGGCCAGUACUGACGCUGAGGAGCGAAAGCGUGGGGAGCAAACAGG
This 254-nucleotide ribosomal RNA is filed under the name uncultured bacterium. RNAcentral describes it as "partial 16S ribosomal RNA". It matches the Rfam family "Bacterial small subunit ribosomal RNA", at positions 524 to 776 of the family's 1533-position model. The record is from RNAcentral.